Molecule: ribosomal RNA, 253 nt
Filed under: uncultured bacterium
Lineage: Bacteria
Description: partial 16S ribosomal RNA
Rfam family: Bacterial small subunit ribosomal RNA
Source: RNAcentral
UACGUAGGGUGCAAGCGUUACUCGGAAUUACUGGGCGUAAAGCGUGCGCAGGCGGCUUUGCAAGACAGAUGUGAAAUCCCCGGGCUUAACCUGGGAACUGCAUUUGUGACUGCAAGGCUGGAGUGCGGCAGAGGGGGAUGGAAUUCCGCGUGUAGCAGUGAAAUGCGUAGAUAUGUGGAGGAACACCGAUGGCGAAGGCAGCCCCCUGGGUUAACACUGACGCUCAGGCACGAAAGCGUGGGGAGCAAACAGG